RNAcentral lists this ribosomal RNA (255 nucleotides) under uncultured Actinomycetes bacterium. RNAcentral describes it as "uncultured actinobacterium partial 16S ribosomal RNA". It matches the Rfam family "Bacterial small subunit ribosomal RNA", at positions 28 to 276 of the family's 1533-position model. The record is from RNAcentral. Lineage: Bacteria; Bacillati; Actinomycetota; Actinomycetes.
GACGAACGCUGGCGGCGCGCUUAACACAUGCAAGUCGAGCGAGAACCAGGGCUUCGGCCCUGGGGACAGCGGCGAACGGGUGAGUAACACGUGGAUAACCUGCCCUCGGCACCGGGAUAGCCCGGGGAAACUCGGAUUAAUACCGGAUGGCCCUUCCGACUCUCGAGUCGGUCCGAAAAGGUAGCUUCGGCCUCUGGCCGAGGAUGGGUCCGCGGCGGAUUAGCUUGUUGGUGGGGUAACGGCCUACCAAGGCUU